GUCGAAUAAUGUGUGAAAGUACACGAGCGGCGGACGGCAGAGUAACGCGUAGGAACGUACCCCAAAGUGAGGCAUAAGCCCGGGAAACCGGGUCUAAUACCGCAUAUUCUCUUCGGAGCAAAGCCUUGUGCGCUUUGGGAGCGGCCUGCGUAUGAUUAGCUUGUUGGUGAGGUAAUGGCUCACCAAGGCGACGAUCAUUAGCUGGUCUGAGAGGAUGAUCAGCCUGACUGGGACUGAGACACGGCCCAGACUCCUACGGGAGGCAGCAGUAGGGAAUUUUCCGCAAUGGGCGAAAGCCUGACGGAGCAACGCCGCGUGCAGGAGGAAGGCCUUCGGGUCGUAAACUGCUUUUAACGGGGACGAUUUUGACGGUACCCGUAGAAUAAGGAUUGGCUAAUUCCGUGCCAGCAGCCGCG
Molecule: ribosomal RNA, 416 nt
Filed under: uncultured soil bacterium
Lineage: Bacteria
Description: bacterial SSU rRNA
Rfam family: Bacterial small subunit ribosomal RNA
Source: RNAcentral